This 253-nucleotide ribosomal RNA is filed under the name uncultured bacterium. Its description in RNAcentral is "partial 16S ribosomal RNA". It matches the Rfam family "Bacterial small subunit ribosomal RNA", at positions 524 to 776 of the family's 1533-position model. The record is from RNAcentral.
AACGGAGGGGGCAAGUGUUACUCGUAAGGACUGGGCGUAAAGGGUGCGUAGGCGGCCCGGUAAGUCCGUUGUGAAAGUCAAAGGCUCAACCUUUGAACGCCGAUGGAUACUGCCGGGCUAGAGUCCGGAAGAGGCGAGUGGAAUUCCUGGUGUAGCGGUGGAAUGCGCAGAUAUCAGGAGGAACACCGAUAGCGAAGGCAGCUCGCUGGGACGGUACUGACGCUGAGGCGCGAAAGCGUGGGGAGCGAACAGG